CAGUAGCCACGGUAAUACGUAGGUGGCAAGCGUUGUCCGGAAUUAUUGGGCGUAAAGGGCUCGCAGGCGGCUUCUUAAGUCUGAUGUGAAAGCCCCCGGCUCAACCGGGGAGGGUCAGUGGAAACUGGGAAACUUGAGUGCAGUAGAGGAGAGUGGAAUUCCACGUGUGGCGGUGAAAUGCGUAGAGAUGUGGAGGAACACCAGUGGCGAAGGCGACUCUCUGGUCUGUAACUGACGCUGAGGAGCGAAAGCGUGGGGAGCGAACAGGAUUAGAUACCCCUGUAGUCCCUGUCUCUUAUAC
This 301-nucleotide ribosomal RNA is filed under the name uncultured bacterium. Its description in RNAcentral is "partial 16S ribosomal RNA". It matches the Rfam family "Bacterial small subunit ribosomal RNA", at positions 509 to 807 of the family's 1533-position model. The record is from RNAcentral.